RNAcentral lists this long non-coding RNA (1004 nucleotides) under Numida meleagris (helmeted guineafowl). RNAcentral's name for it is "lncRNA (ENSNMEG00000010716.1)". The record is from RNAcentral. Lineage: Eukaryota; Metazoa; Chordata; Aves; Galliformes; Numididae.
UGGAAACCAAAGUUUUUUGAGAACAGAAAUACUGUCUGUCAGUUCAUAUAAUCAAUAAAAUUAUCUGUAACAUUUUCUUUACUGACAUGCAUUAUUAUGCACGGUAGGCACCCAGCUGGUGAGCCGAGGUUCUAAGUGUAGAGUUCUUGACCAGGAAACAAUAAUGUCAGUGAGAUGGAGAGCGGGACAGCCAAUUUAAAUGCCAAAUGCUUUUUCAGUGCAAUAGAUUGUCAUUAAUUCUUCCUGUGUGGCCCCAAUGGGUUGAUUACUAGCAAAGAUUUAUUACUUGGACUGCUAUCUUUCAAAAUGGAUGCAUCAUGCUUCUAUUUGAGACAACACUGAAAAAAAACUCCGUAACAUUUGGAUGGAUAGAUUUAAAGUACAGUAAGUCACCAUGCAGGGGAUCUGAGACACAUAAGUGGAUUUGAAGCAACACAGCAACUAAAAACAGGACCAGAAAAUGGCCUCCAGUCUAAAGUGUCUGACUAUUCAAGUUUAUCUUUAAUCUCACAUGCCUGCUGUUUUCACAUACUCCAAAUACGUCUUUAAGAAAACAAAAAAAAUUGGAUGUAUUUCAUAUUGAUUAUCGUCUGUUUAAAUGAGGUUUUGUUUAAAUCCAUUUAACUCUCGGUUUGUUUCUUCUAUAUAUCUAACCUAGAGAUAAGGCCACUCUUCUGUUCAACAGUGAUAUAGCUUCCCCCUCCCCACCCAAAAAAAAAGGAAAAAAAAAUUUAAUCAAUUUUCGUUGUGUGGUGGCAUGAAUAUUUGUAGCAAUACAAAAGAAGGAUGGAACCACUUUUUCCACCCUUGAUUUUGGCUUAAAUGUUGACCAAAUAUUUGCCCUAGGCAUUGGCAAAUCCACACAAAAGAAAAAAACUUAUUUAAUUGUUAGAAAAAAAGUUCAGAGGAAGCAGGAGUGUCUCAAAACGUUCCAUAUGUUGAAGCCAAUACAUCGUUGAACAUAAAUCAGAAAUAAAGUGAGCUUCAUUAUGCCUGGUGCUUCA